GGCCUGAGAGGGUGACCGGCCACACUGGGACUGAGGCACGGCCCAGACUCCUACGGGAGGCAGCAGUGGGGAAUAUUGCACAAUGGGCGCAAGCCUGAUGCAGCGACGCCGCGUGAGGGAUGACGGCCUUCGGGUUGUAAACCUCUUUCAGCAGGGAAGAAGCGAAAGUGACGGUACCUGCAGAAGAAGCGCCGGCUAACUACGUGCCAGCAGCCGCGGUAAUACGUAGGGCGCGAGCGUUGUCCGGAAUUAUUGGGCGUAAAGAGCUUGUAGGCGGUUUGUUGCGUCUGCUGUGAAAGACCGGGGCUUAACCCCGGUAUUGCAGUGGGUACGGGCAGACUAGAGUGCAGUAGG
Molecule: ribosomal RNA, 354 nt
Filed under: bacterium LimA-10-J-108
Lineage: Bacteria
Description: bacterial SSU rRNA
Rfam family: Bacterial small subunit ribosomal RNA
Source: RNAcentral